This 27-nucleotide non-coding RNA is filed under the name Cricetulus griseus (Chinese hamster). The record is from RNAcentral. Lineage: Eukaryota; Metazoa; Chordata; Mammalia; Rodentia; Cricetidae.
UGUGUGUUUAUUUGGGGCUAAAUGGCU